RNAcentral lists this small nuclear RNA (131 nucleotides) under Neogale vison (American mink). Its description in RNAcentral is "Neovison vison (American mink) U4 spliceosomal RNA (ENSNVIG00000003991.1)". It matches the Rfam family "U4 spliceosomal RNA". From Rfam's summary of the family: U4 small nuclear RNA (U4 snRNA) is a component of the major U2-dependent spliceosome. The structure of U4 snRNA from yeast and human has been reported. The record is from Rfam by way of RNAcentral. Lineage: Eukaryota; Metazoa; Chordata; Mammalia; Carnivora; Mustelidae.
AGCUUUGCGCAGUGGCCGUAUGGUAGCCAAUGAGGUUUACCAGACGCGCGAUUAUUGCUAAUGAAGACUCUUGGUUGAGAUAAGCAGUGAGAAGUAUACUACUGAACAAUUUCAGACAAAGGGGAAGCUCU